This 687-nucleotide unclassified non-coding RNA is filed under the name Hevea brasiliensis (rubber tree). Lineage: Eukaryota; Viridiplantae; Streptophyta; Magnoliopsida; Malpighiales; Euphorbiaceae. The record is from RNAcentral.
UUUAUAGAAACCUUUUGCUUUUUGUCGAUGGGCUAGAAUUUGAUCGACAAUAUUCACAAGUUUUGGUUUUCUUUUUCUGAAAGUUCCAACAGUUAUCCAUUUCAUGAUAGGAAGUUUUAUUGCCAAAAUUAAGUUGCAGAGGGAAUUCCAACUAGUAUACCAUAUCUUGGACAAAGUACUCAUUUGUGCAGCAUAUUUCGCGAGGAGUAAACAUAGAAAAUGCUGCAAAUUUGGCUCUGACAACAAUUUGGAUAUUUGAUCAUUUACUGCAUCAACUCUUGUAUCUUCCAUCACUCACAAAGAUGUUUAUGAUUUUUUCCCCAAAAAUCAAAAAGGAAAAAAUCAUGGAAAGAUUUUCUUUUUGAUUAUGGUGACAAAUUUUCAUUAACAUGUAGAAGAAUUGCACAAAGCAAAAUUCCUUCCUUAAUUUGUUUGAAUACUGGUAUAUGUUACCAGAGCCAAUUUUGCAGCACUUGCUGUCUUUACUCCUUGCUAAAGAUGCUGCAAAAUUGAGUACUUUGUCCAAGACAUAGUACACUGUUUGGAGUUCCCACUCCUACUUAAAUUUUGGUGACGAAUUCUUCUUUUGUGAACGGGAUGGCCGUAGGAUAGUUUCAGAAAAAAUACCAGAGCUUGUGAAUAUUGUCGACCAAACUCUAGCCAAGCGGCAUGAACAGAAGGUUUCCG